GUCCACGCCGUAAACGAUAAUCACUAGAUGUUAGUCCGGCUUAGCUGGAUUAGUGUCGUAGCUAACGCGUUAAGUGAUUCGCCUGGGGAGUACGGUCGCAAGGCUAAACUUAAAGAAUUGACGGGGUCCGCACAAGCGGUGGAACAUGUGGUUUAAUUCGACACUACGCGAGAAACCUUACCUGGACUUGACAUGUACUCGACAGCUGUAGAAAUACAGUCUUUUGGGUUUCGAUUCAAACGGGUACACAGGUGCUGCAUGGCUGUCGU
This 269-nucleotide ribosomal RNA is filed under the name uncultured bacterium. Its description in RNAcentral is "partial 16S ribosomal RNA". It matches the Rfam family "Bacterial small subunit ribosomal RNA", at positions 793 to 1055 of the family's 1533-position model. The record is from RNAcentral.